This 375-nucleotide long non-coding RNA is filed under the name Zostera marina. RNAcentral's name for it is "long non-coding RNA (ZMAR_LNC002110)". The record is from RNAcentral. Lineage: Eukaryota; Viridiplantae; Streptophyta; Magnoliopsida; Alismatales; Zosteraceae.
CCUAGAACGAAAUCAGAGUAUUAACAAUAAAAUAAGAUGUUAAUGUGAAAUCAGAGUAUUAACAAUAAAAUAAAAUGUUGAUGUGAAAUCAGAGUAUUAACAAUAAAAUAAAAUGUUGAUGUGAAAUCAGAAUAAAAUGAAAUCUGAGUAUUAACAAAAAAUAAGAUGUUGAUGUGAAAUCAGAAUAAAAUAAAAUCAGAGUAUUAACAAUAAAAAAGGAUGUUGAUGUGAAAUCAGAAUAAAAUGAAAUCAGAAUAUUAACAAUAAAAUAAGAUAUUAAAUUGAAAUCAGAGUAUUAACAAUAAAAUAAGAUGUUCUUCAUUUGAAUGCAAUUGGUUGUCUUACUUGUAAGCCUAUAAAUGGUAUACCGAAAUC